AUGGUGACUUCCGGUUUAUUUCCGGGUUGUAACGAAGUAUAAUAACAGCGAUAAUAUGAACUAAUUAUCGUUCCAGGAAGUUAGCCAUAGCUAGGAGUUUACAGAUACACCGACUCAGAGACAUACAUCAUUAGGAUGUUAUUUCUUCAUGUUUCUGUACAGAAGCGAUAUACCGACAUGAGACAGUCGUCUUAAACCUACCGUCUGCUGAAAUUCUUUUGUCCACCACAUGUGACUCAAAGAUAUGAUUCAAAUAUGCUGAUGUUACCUACUGAGAUCAUUACUUUCAAUGAAGAACAUCACUAAAAUUGGUUGGGCUGCUAGAUUGGUAGCAACGUGAUGCAAGCUAGUGCCUGUUGAAACACUAUUGUUGUUUGGGC
Long non-coding RNA from Mya arenaria, 380 nucleotides. RefSeq lists it as uncharacterized. The transcript is spliced from 5 exons. NCBI's taxonomy places the organism in Eukaryota, Metazoa, Mollusca, Bivalvia, Myida, Myidae. The record is from RefSeq and is a predicted model, not a curated record.